CUUCAAACCAAUGAAGUAAAUACAUUAAAAUUGGAAAGAUCCAGUGUGGAUUAGUGUGGCCCCUUGACGAGAAUGACACAAACAUUUAUCAAGUAUUUCUUAUUUUU
Perognathus longimembris pacificus (Pacific pocket mouse) is the source of this 107-nucleotide small nuclear RNA. NCBI's taxonomy places the organism in Eukaryota, Metazoa, Chordata, Mammalia, Rodentia, Heteromyidae. The record is from RefSeq and is a predicted model, not a curated record.